GGCCUCAUAACUCAGCUGGUAGAGCGUGCGCUGUUCAAAAGAGUAGACUGCUUCCAUGUGUGGGUUCGAAUCCUACCGAGGCUA
Molecule: transfer RNA, 84 nt
Filed under: Echinostoma caproni
Lineage: Eukaryota; Metazoa; Platyhelminthes; Trematoda; Plagiorchiida; Echinostomatidae
Rfam family: tRNA
About the family: Transfer RNA (tRNA) molecules are approximately 80 nucleotides in length. Their secondary structure includes four short double-helical elements and three loops (D, anti-codon, and T loops). Further hydrogen bonds mediate the characteristic L-shaped molecular structure. tRNAs have two regions of fundamental functional importance: the anti-codon, which is responsible for specific mRNA codon recognition, and the 3' end, to which the tRNAs corresponding amino acid is attached (by aminoacyl-tRNA synthetases). tRNAs cope with the degeneracy of the genetic code in two manners: having more than one tRNA (with a specific anti-codon) for a particular amino acid; and 'wobble' base-pairing, i.e. permitting non-standard base-pairing at the 3rd anti-codon position.
Source: Rfam by way of RNAcentral